UUUAUAAUAUGAAUGUACAAAUAGUUGAAUAUUUUAUUUACAUAAAUUGCAACAUUGCUGUUAAAUUCCUUAAUUUAUCUAAUCUUUAUUAAACCAUUAGUUUAAAACCGAUAAAAACUUACUUUGGAAUCAUUUUCUAUAGAGGUCAUUCAAUAUUCUUGCGGAGUUCUUGAAGGAUUAUUUGAUUAUAUUCUUAUUUUGAUAUGAAAGGAAGUGCAAUUACCAAUAAUAUGUAAAAAUAGUAGCAUAUUUAAAAAACCUUUCAUCAAUUCUCAAUCCGAAUGUGCCUUUUUAUUAAAAUUCCAUCCUUUAACUUAUCUGUCUGUAAACCUAAAAAUAUUCGCAAAAUAAUAUAAUAAUCAAUUAUAUCGUUUUUUAUUAUUUAUAUUUUAAAAUAAUUUAUUGAUUUUAAAAUAGUUUUUUAAUUGGGGAUUAAAUACUUUAUAAAUUUUAUUUAACUUAAAUUCACAAUUAUCAAAAAAAACACACAAUUAUUUCAGGAAUAAUUAUAAAAAUUUUUUUUAAAGAAAUGUGCCUUUUUAGACAGAAAAUUAAAUUUAAUUCUAUUAUUCUCAGUGACGGAUCGAAAACUUUUUAAAAGCACCUGCCAUUCCAAUCAUAAAUGAUAAUGAUAUAUGUGGUUGUAACAUCAUAGAACAUAUUAUUCCAAAAAAAAUCUUGACGAUAAAACCCCAAAUUCUUCGUUAAGUGUCCGAAAAAAGGAGAAUAAUAAUGGCGUUGAUCAGCAUGAAUUUCGACAAACCCUGCACCAAUCAUAUACCUACCGUGGUACAGGUUUUCGAAGCCAUGACCCCUCUUGGAUACAUUUUCCUGUCAAUCGCGACUUUGCUCUCCAUACUCACUUUCCUCAUUUUCAUGGAUGAGUUAUAUUACAUCCACGCGAAAGUGCCUUACAAGAGCCACAAAGAACGCCUCUAUUGGCUCAUAGGAAUUUUUCCGGUAUAAUCAUUAUUGUAUAUUUAUUUACUC
This is a long non-coding RNA of Gordionus sp. m RMFG-2023, 990 nucleotides long. RefSeq lists it as uncharacterized. The record is from RefSeq and is a predicted model, not a curated record. The transcript is spliced from 3 exons. NCBI's taxonomy places the organism in Eukaryota, Metazoa, Nematomorpha, Gordioida, Chordodea, Parachordodidae.